GAAAGUUAGUUUAGACAAAACAGUUGAUUUCGACCCAACAGACCAUAGACUACCCCUAUGACUUUCUU
Molecule: transfer RNA, 68 nt
Filed under: Brachygalba albogularis
Lineage: Eukaryota; Metazoa; Chordata; Aves; Piciformes; Galbulidae
Description: tRNA-Arg
Source: RNAcentral